AUACGGAGGGGGCUAGCGUUGUUCGGAAUUACUGGGCGUAAAGCGCGCGUAGGCGGUCCGCGUAGUCAGGCGUGAAAGCCCCGGGCUCAACCUGGGAACUGCGUUUGAUACUGGCGGGCUAGAGUCCGGGAGAGGGUAGUGGAAUUCCCAGUGUAGAGGUGAAAUUCGUAGAUAUUGGGAAGAACACCGGUUGCGAAGGCGGCUACCUGGACCGGUACUGACGCUGAGGUGCGAAAGCGUGGGGAGCAAACAGGAUUAGAAACCCCGGUAGUCC
This 274-nucleotide ribosomal RNA is filed under the name uncultured bacterium. Its description in RNAcentral is "partial 16S ribosomal RNA". It matches the Rfam family "Bacterial small subunit ribosomal RNA", at positions 523 to 796 of the family's 1533-position model. The record is from RNAcentral.